RNAcentral lists this ribosomal RNA (386 nucleotides) under Praomys misonnei. RNAcentral's name for it is "partial small subunit ribosomal RNA". Lineage: Eukaryota; Metazoa; Chordata; Mammalia; Rodentia; Muridae. The record is from RNAcentral.
GCUUAGCCCUAAACUAAAAUAGUUACAUAACAAAACUAUUUGCCAGAGAACUACUAGCCAUAGCUUAAAMUCAAAGGACUUGGCGGUACUUUAUAUCCAUCUAGAGGAGCCUGUUCUAUAAUCGAUAUACCCCGCUUUACCUCACCAUCCCUUGCUAAUUCAGCCUAUAUACCGCCAUCUUCAGCAAACCCUUAAAAGGUCUCAAAGUAAGCAAGAGAACAACCAUAAAAACGUUAGGUCAAGGUGUAGCCAAUGAGAUGGGAAGCAAUGGGCUACAUUUUCUAUUUAAGAACAUUACGAUACCCUUUAUGAAACUAAAGGACAAAGGAGGAUUUAGUAGUAAAUUAAGAAUAGAGAGCUUAAUUGAAUAGAGCAAUGAAGUACGC